Molecule: ribosomal RNA, 497 nt
Filed under: uncultured bacterium
Lineage: Bacteria
Description: partial 16S ribosomal RNA
Rfam family: Bacterial small subunit ribosomal RNA
Source: RNAcentral
GGCGGACGGGUGAGUAACACGUGGGACAAAAAAAAGAGGGGAGGAAUACCGGCGAGAAAUCGCCGACAAUACCCUUAACGUAUCACCACAAGAGAGCAAAGCUCGCAAGAGCGCCACUGGAUGAUCCUGCGGUCGAUUAGCUAGUUGGUGAGGUCAAGGCUCACCAAGGCGACGAUCGAUAGCUGGUCUGAGAGGACGAUCAGCCACACUGGGAUUGAGAACGGCCCAGACUCCUACGGGGGGCAGCAGUGAGGAAUUUUCGUCAAUGGGGGCAACCCUGAACGAGCAACGCCCCGUGCAGGAGAAGGUUUUCGGAUCGUAAACUGCUUUUCUCUGGGACGAGUACGGACGGUACCAGAGGAAUCAGCCCCGGCUAACUACGUGCCAGCAGCCGCGGAAAUACGUAGGGGGGGAGCGUUGUCCGGAUUUUUUGGGCGUAAGGGCUCCGCAGGCGGUUUGGUAAUUUUUGCGAGACAGUUCACGGAUAAACUGGGAAA